RNAcentral lists this ribosomal RNA (253 nucleotides) under uncultured bacterium. Its description in RNAcentral is "partial 16S ribosomal RNA". It matches the Rfam family "Bacterial small subunit ribosomal RNA", at positions 524 to 776 of the family's 1533-position model. The record is from RNAcentral.
UACGUAGGGUGCGAGCGUUGUCCGGAAUUAUUGGGCGUAAGGGGCUCGUAGGCGGUCUGUCGCGUCGGGAGUGAAAACUCAGGGCUUAACCCUGAGCCUGCUUCCGAUACGGGCAGACUAGAGGUAUGCAGGGGAGAACGGAAUUCCUGGUGUAGCGGUGGAAUGCGCAGAUAUCAGGAGGAACACCGGUGGCGAAGGCGGUUCUCUGGGCAUUACCUGACGCUGAGGAGCGAAAGUGUGGGGAGCGAACAGG